Molecule: non-coding RNA, 1456 nt
Organism: Phascolarctos cinereus (koala)
Lineage: Eukaryota; Metazoa; Chordata; Mammalia; Diprotodontia; Phascolarctidae
Source: the annotation of a RefSeq genome assembly
GAUUUUCUACCUGGAUCCAUAAACUUCUCCUGGAGCUACCAAAACCGAAGUGCUGUGAGUACCACAGAUUUGAAGAUCUUCCCAUCCCUUAUGAGUGGGGCACAUACACAGCCACCUCACAGGUGAUACUCCCUGCCAAUGAUGUCUUCCAAGGACAAGAUAGCUACUUGGUAUGCAAGACCCAGCAUCCCAAAGGCAACAAGGAAAUUGAAGUUCCACUUCCAGAUCCCAGCACCAGUUCCCCUAAUGUGACUGUGUAUAUUCCACCCCGUGAUGCAUUCUCCAGCUCUGGCCUAAGAACAUCUAAGCUCAUCUGUCAAGCCACCAACUUCAGGCCAAACAAGAUCAAGUUAACAUGGCUUCGAGAGGGCAGGCCACUUCGGUCAGGUGUCUCUACAGGUCAAGUCCUGCCUGAAGGCUCUGGGACUUACUUCCUGCAGAGCAGCCUGACUGUCAGUGAAAAUGACUGGCUCAGCCAAAAUACAUUCACCUGCCAGGUAGCACAUGAAAGGGCCCAAUUCCAGAAGAAUGUUUCCUCAACCUGUUUCACUGGGGAACCAGAAUCACCCAUUGAAGUCUUUGUCAUCCCCCCCUCCUUCGCAAGCAUCUUUCGUACCAAAUCAGCCACAUUAACCUGUAUGGUCACAAACCUUCCCACUCCUCAAAAUCCAAAUAUUUCCUGGACCCGGGAGAAUGGACAGCCUCUGGACACCACCAUUAAGAUGUCCCUCAGCCACCUCAAUGGCACUUUUAGUGCUGAGGGAAUAACCACAGUCUGUGCAGAAGAAUGGGAUUCCGGGGACAUAUUCAGAUGCACCGUGAUUCAUCCUAACUAUCCUGAACCCUUGAAGAAAGAAAUCUCUAAGCCAAAAGGUUCUACCAAGAAAGCACCAGUUGUCUAUCUAUUGCCUCCAACUUCUGAAGAGCUGAGCCUGAGGGAAUCAGCUACCCUAACCUGCCUGGUGAAGGACUUCUAUCCAGCAGAUGUGUUUGUCCAGUGGCAACACAAAGGACAGCCUAUACCCUCAGAGAAAUAUGUCACCAGCAGCCCCCAGCAGGAGCCCCAGAAAGACGGUCUCUACUUCUCCCACAGCACCCUGACAGUGCCUGAGAAACACUGGAAUGCGGGGGAUUCCUAUACCUGUGUGGUGGUUCAUGAAGCACUACCCUUUUCGGUGACUGAGAAGACCGUGGACAAGUCCACUGGUAAACCCACCUUCGUCAAUGUCUCCCUUGUGCUAUCUGAUGCAACCAAUGCCUGCUACUGAGAGGGUGUGGUCUUGGCCAAUCUCUUUUUACUGUCCCUACAGGUCUUACUCUCACUAUCUAGCUCAUUCGUGGGGCAGAUUCAGGGGGCUUCUGUGCCAACUGAAUUCCCCAAAGUAGUGUGUAAGAUCAUGUGACUGAAAUAAGAUACUGCAUUUUAUAAAAAUUAGAAAUAAAAAUAAUCAACUUU